GAUGGCUUAGUGGGUUAAGUGCUUGUCCCUGCAAGAGUGAGGCCUUGAAUUCUGUUCACCAGUGCCCACAGAAAAAAGCCAGGCAUCUUGGAAGCCCAGCACUCCAGAGGCAGAGGUAUGGUGUCAAGGAGAGGCAGAACUGGGAUGGAAGGAACAAGAAGGAGAUGGCAGAAGACUCGUCAUUUCUCAGUGACAAGAAGAGGGAAGAAUUCAGCCCAGGCUCACCGUGGGGAUAGGAAGCCUAGACCCACAGAUACUUGAGGAAAACCAACUGUUGCAAAAUGAACACAGAUGGAAGCUAAGCCCAGAGGAAAGGUGGGUAAAUGAAGAGACAAUUGCUGUGA
Molecule: long non-coding RNA, 344 nt
Organism: Apodemus sylvaticus (European woodmouse)
Lineage: Eukaryota; Metazoa; Chordata; Mammalia; Rodentia; Muridae
Exons: 3
Source: RefSeq, a predicted model, not a curated record